UUGCAUAUCCAAUAAGCGGAGGAAAGGAAACCAACAGGGAUUGCCUUAGUAGCGGCGAGUGAAGCGGCAAUAGCUCAAAUUUGAAAUCUGCCAACAGGCCGAGUUGUAAUUUGAAGAAAGCAAUUCUGGAUGUGUCUUUGCUCAAGUUCCUUGGAACAGGACAUCAUGGAGGGUGAGAAUCCCGUGAUGCGAAGGUAGCACGUCUAUGUAGAAUGUUUUCGACGAGUCGAGUUGUUUGGGAAUGCAGCUCAAAGUGGGUGGUAAAUUCCAUCUAAAGCUAAAUAUUGGCGAGAGACCGAUAGCGAACAAGUACUGUGAAGGAAAGAUGAAAAGAACUUUGAAAAGAGAGUGAAAAAGUACGUGAAAUUGUUGAAAUGGAAGGGCUUGAGAUUAGACAUGGUGUUUAGUGUUCC
Molecule: ribosomal RNA, 413 nt
Filed under: Wickerhamiella sorbophila
Lineage: Eukaryota; Fungi; Ascomycota; Dipodascomycetes; Dipodascales; Trichomonascaceae
Description: eukaryotic LSU rRNA
Rfam family: Eukaryotic large subunit ribosomal RNA
Source: RNAcentral